GCCCUGGUAGCUCAAUUGGCUAGAGCGUGGGACUUUUAUCACCUCAUCGCCUUAGAAAACCCUCUAAGGAAUGACAUGUGGAAUCCCAAGGUUGCGGGUUCGACCCCCGCCUGGGGCG
Non-coding RNA from Hypoxylon sp. FL1150, 118 nucleotides. NCBI's taxonomy places the organism in Eukaryota, Fungi, Ascomycota, Sordariomycetes, Xylariales, Hypoxylaceae. The record is from the annotation of a GenBank genome assembly.